GUCUCAAAACUCCCGACCUCAGGCGAUCUACCCGCCUUGGCCUCUGAAAGUACUGGGAUUACAGCAACUCCCAAAACACACAUGGCCCCAGAGAAUAAGAGGACCACAGCUGAGUUGCUUUUCAGACAUCAGACAGCUGUCCUUGUGGAUGAAAGAAACUCCUUUCCAACUUUGAAGAAAAUGUCCAGGGAUCGGGGAGCAGGCAUGUGAUAUUCUUCAAGGUGCCACCAGCCUUUCUCAAUAAAACAUCUCCAGUGGGAAAACAUGGAACCCAGAAAGGGCUGGUGUGGGAAAAAUAUGACAAGGAUGGCCGGCAAAGUAAACCCAUGGUGAAUUCAACCCUGAGAAAGCAGAUUUCCUGGAGUGUGCAAGCUUUGCUUAGGCUUAGUUUUAAUAAAUAAUAAAGAGACACAAUUAAACAAACUAAAGGUGAUCUUGCCCCGGAUGGCUCCUUAGGAUCUUUAGAACAUGGCAAUUCAAUUUAAACGCGGAGCCCCUACUCUGCUGGACUGACAGGAAAUUGAACUGUCCAGGUCAUGACUCCCGUGUAUGAAGUGCAGCUGUCCAGGUCACCCCUGGAACAUCUUUCACAACCUUGCUGAGGGCCCUGCUAGGAACCAGGCAUCUUAAGAAGCACUAGGUCAUCUGGAGGCCCUUCCCAUCAUUAGUUCACAUGAGCACGUCCCAGUCUGCAUGGUCUCCUUGGGGUUACCCCUCUGCUAUUAAAUAUUUUCUAGAAAAAAAAAAAAAAGACUCUUUGGCAAAGACCCAGCCUCCCUGAGGCACAUACAGCGAGGGGGUACCACCAAGAAGCAGGUGACAUCCUUGAGGCUUCUGGAUUCACAGACCUUUUUAGUUUAGGAAAAUACAGCCCUCCUCAAACCCUAUUCUUCUCUGCAGGUUUAUUUGAAAUGAAAGCCUGGAAGUCCAGCCACAAGUCUCUCCUGAGGCUGAGACACAGAGCCAGCCAGAAUGAAAAAUGGAAAGGGGAAAAUACAGAGAGAGAAAUUAAAUCAGUAUCUCAAAGGUUUUCCUCUUUUUUCUAAAAUGAAAUUCCUUUCAUUUUAGUGUUUAUUUUAGAGUUGAGGCAACUGAGACAUGGGCAUAAUGACCAAAGGCACACAACUAGUUACAAACAGUGACACAACCAGUUACUGACACCUACUAGUUACUGACAGAUACUAACAGCCAACAAUAGCUGGCUCUUUCUAUUAUACCAUGGUGCCUCUUCAUUUUUUCUGAUUUCCAACCUCUUUUCUAUUCUAAACUGCCCUUGUUGAUAGGCACUUAAGUCUCUGCACCUACAGUCUUAGACAUAUUUGGAAACUUCUCUUAAGCAUGUUGAUCCAUCCAGGGCUGAAUUAUCUGUGAUCAAAAGAAUUACUCCACCCUGGGGCAUAUCCAACAAGAUGAAAGAUUCAGAAAUAAAUUACAUUGUGCUCCAUUCUUCCUGGCUCUCAACAUCUUCCCGCAUAAGAAAUCAGUUUCCUGAGAGUCUCCAGGCUCCAAAAGGCCAUCCUAAGGGAUGAAGGCAAAGUCUCAUGGGUCCAGCCACCCACCACAGACAUCUCUAGGAUGACUUUGGGGACCUGAUUGUUCCUGUGGCAAUGAUGCAUGUGGCCUGGGAGUUUUGGGAAAGCAGCCUCUACUGCUGCCUCUUGCCAGCUUUCCACUUGGUAGAAGAUGCUUCCUAAAGAUGCACUUUGUGAAGUCUCUGCAGAACCAGCAUAGACCAAGCCAAAUCAUGAUGAAAAUUCUUGUUGUCUGCUCCUUCUCCCAGUGCAGUCCUGUGUUUCCACUUGUUGGAAAUAUAUCUGCCUGUCAAUGUCUGAGAACGCCAGCACCUUUUCGAUGUUACGAACUCACAGUGCUCCUCUUCCAGAAUGCCAGCAUUCAUAAUUUUUAAGCCUCAAACUUUCAAGAAAUGGAAGCAAUUGAAUUACACUGCAUUUAAAAGUAGAAAUGGUACUAUUACAUAGCUAGAAAUUUCUGUCAGGUAUG
Molecule: long non-coding RNA, 2001 nt
Filed under: Homo sapiens (human)
Lineage: Eukaryota; Metazoa; Chordata; Mammalia; Primates; Hominidae
Description: HSALNT0031212
Source: RNAcentral